CUGGGACCCAGGUUGGGUGCUUCGGCGCCCGCCCCCACCCUUUGCUUAGCCCCCGAUGUAAUAAAACCCGUCGGCCUCAGGCGCGCCCGCUUGACAGCGUGGUACGCCGGCCGGACAUCAAACCCUGAACAACAUUGCAGCCUGAAGUAAAAAGCAAAUAGUUA
This 164-nucleotide unclassified non-coding RNA is filed under the name uncultured Cylindrosympodium. RNAcentral's name for it is "sequence contains ITS1". The record is from RNAcentral. Lineage: Eukaryota; Fungi; Ascomycota; Dothideomycetes; Venturiales; Venturiaceae.